AAUCAACGCUGGCGGCGUGCCUCAGACAUGCAAGUCGAACGAUUAAAGCUCUCUUCGGAGAGUGCAUAGAGUGGCGCACGGGUGAGUAACACGUAAGUAAUCUACCUUCGAGUGGGAAUAACAUCGGGAAACCGAUGCUAAUACCGCAUAAUGCAGCGGCAUCAUAAGAUGACAGUUGUUAAAGAUUUAUCGCUUGAAGAGGAGCUUGCGGCAGAUUAGCUAGUUGGUAAGGUAAUGGCUUACCAAGGCUACGAUCUGUAACCGGUCUAAGAGGACGGUCGGUCACACUGACACUGAAUAACGGGUCAGACUCCUACGGGAGGCAGCAGUCGGGAAUUUUGGGCAAUGGGCGAAAGCCUGACCCAGCAACGCCGCGUGAAGGAUGAAGUAUUUCGGUAUGUAAACUU
This 407-nucleotide ribosomal RNA is filed under the name uncultured bacterium. RNAcentral's name for it is "bacterial SSU rRNA". It matches the Rfam family "Bacterial small subunit ribosomal RNA", at positions 32 to 432 of the family's 1533-position model. The record is from RNAcentral.